AUGAACGCUGGCGGCGUGCCUCAUCCAUGCAAGUCGCGCGAACAGACGAGGAGCUUGCUCCUCUGACGUUAGCGGCGGACGGGUGAGUAACACGUGGAUAACCUACCUAUAAGACUGGGAUAACUUCGGGAAACCGGAGCUAAUACCGGAUAAUAUAUUGAACCGCAUGGUUCAAUAGUGAAAGACGGUUUUGCUGUCACUUAUAGAUGGAUCCGCGCCGCAUUAGCUAGUUGGUAAGGUAACGGCUUACCAAGGCAACGAUGCGUAGCCGACCUGAGAGGGUGAUCGGCCACACUGGAACUGAGACACGGUCCAGACUCCUACGGGAGGCAGCAGUAGGGAAUCGUCCGCAAUGGGCGAAAGCCUGACGGAGCAACGCCGCGUGAGUGAUGAAGGUCUUCGGAUCGUAAAACUCUGUUAUUAGGGAAGAACAAAUGUGUAAGUAACUAUGCACGUCUUGACGGUACCUAAUCAGAAAGCCACGGCUAACUACG
Molecule: ribosomal RNA, 494 nt
Filed under: uncultured bacterium
Lineage: Bacteria
Description: partial 16S ribosomal RNA
Rfam family: Bacterial small subunit ribosomal RNA
Source: RNAcentral